CCCCAAUGCAACCCCCCAGCCAGCAACAGCAUGAGUAGGUCAGAGGGUACCAAGUCCCUGCCCCAUCCACCAGCAACCAGGGGUCUAGAGAACAGUAGAGCUGGCGACGUUGGGCUGGCCGGAACGCUGGUGAGGAAGAGAUGAUAACUAAAAACCCACGAGCCUGAACCUGGUCCACUCCACCUGCAGUGUUGUGACCACCACCACAGCACUCCCUGAGGGGAUCUCAUUUAGUCAAUUAAUAUAUUACAGGCUCAUAUUUUGUGGAGCAGGUAAAAACAAAUUCACGUUAGAUAUUUUUGGUCACUUUCAUUUUUGAUCAUAUGUUUAGGCAAUUGAGUAUUUUGGCCCACAUGAUGGAAAGUUUGGAUGCCCCUGUGUUAGUAUGUGUGCCGUUGUAUCCAACGAUUUACAAUUUCAGAUGAUGGCAAUGCUCUGUGAGAUGCUUAAAGCUUUGGAUGUUUUUUUUAUACCCUCAAUCUGCUUUAAACUUCUCCCCAACUUUCCAAGAACUUGUGUUCUUUGGGGCUUAUGAUGAUUUGUUCCCUAAUGCAUGUCGACCAAGUUGGGAAUCUGCAGGACAACGCUGACUUCCUUAAAUCUGGCUAUAGCAAUGCAUUUUGCUUAUGGGUGGUAUUGAAGCAAAGUUAUUUUUUUAAAUUAUAAAAUUUCUAAAUGUCAUAAAUUUACAAAACAUUUUAGCAGAUAAACAAAUGUAUAUUUGUAACAAAAGAAACCCCUUUCACUGCCAUUAAAUGUUAUACUUUUUCAAACAAAAACUGUCAAAUUGCACUGUUAUGUCAACAAUAUUGGCUGUACCAAUUUAAGAUAAUAAAUUCCUUUAAAAUUCAUAGUUCAAGAUAAUAUACCCAAAAUAUUCUCAAACCAUGUCCUGAAUAUUUUAAAGUUUUGUUUAUUUACCUUGGUCAAAUGCUUUUUUAAAGAAAUCAAACUUCUU
This is a long non-coding RNA of Fundulus heteroclitus (mummichog), 958 nucleotides long. RefSeq lists it as uncharacterized. The record is from RefSeq and is a predicted model, not a curated record. NCBI's taxonomy places the organism in Eukaryota, Metazoa, Chordata, Actinopteri, Cyprinodontiformes, Fundulidae. The transcript has 3 exons.